This is a non-coding RNA of Cicer arietinum (chickpea), 3267 nucleotides long. The record is from RefSeq and is a predicted model, not a curated record. NCBI's taxonomy places the organism in Eukaryota, Viridiplantae, Streptophyta, Magnoliopsida, Fabales, Fabaceae.
CUUGUGUGUAAACUACAUAUAUACAAGCUGGCAACCUGUUGAAGAUCUAUUUGACUAAUAUCACCCUUCUCACAUUCAAAAAUUGAUUUCAUUUUCUUCCACUGGUUGCUUUCAAAUCUUAAGCUUAUCAUCAUGAAAAUAACAUUGCCUCUAUUAUUCCAUCUUUUGUUUCUUGCCUUUUGUUUGAUCUCUUCAUUUGCUAGUGGAGCUACUCUAUUAGAAGAAGAAGCACAAGUUAUGAAAGACAUAGCUAAGACACUUGGGAAGAAGGAUUGGAACUUCAGCAUAGAUCCAUGUAGUGGAAAAAAUAACUGGGUAUCUUCUGUGCAAGUGAAAGGGUUUGAAAAUGCUGUCACAUGCAAUUGCUCUUUUGACAAUGCAACUGUCUGCCAUAUUGUUAGCAUUGUUCUCAAGUCACAAAAUCUUUCAGGCACACUUCCAAGGGAAUUUGUGAGAUUACCUUACCUCCAAGAAAUUGAUCUCACACGUAACAACCUUAAUGGUACAAUCCCUCCGCAAUGGGGAUCCAUCAAUCUUGUUAACAUUUCACUAUAUGGAAACCGAUUAACGGGUCAAAUCCCAAAAGAACUUGGAAAAAUCAUCACCCUAAAAAGCUUGGUUCUAGAAUUCAAUCAAUUAUCUGGAAAGCUUCCUCCAGAGCUUGGAAAUCUUCACCAGCUUGAAAGACUGCUUCUUACCUCCAACAAUUUUACUGGAAAUUUACCCGCAACAUUUGCUAAACUCACUAAACUGAAGCACAUUCGACUUGGCGACAAUCAAUUCUCUGGAACUAUACCUGAUUUCAUUCAGAGUUGGACAAGUCUUGAGAGGCUAGUGGUGCAAGGGAGUGGUUUCAGUGGCCCAGUUCCUUAUGGAGUUUCUUAUCUGAAAAACCUAACUGACUUGAGAAUAAGUGACUUGAAAGGAUCAGAUUCGCCUUUUCCACAACUUAUUAACUUGACAAACCUGGAAACAUUAGUACUGAGGAGUUGCAAUCUUAUAGGAGCAGUUCCUGAAUAUCUUGGAAAUAUUACCAACUUAAGAUCAUUGGACCUCAGUUUUAACAAAUUAAGUGGACAGAUUCCGAACACCUUGGGCGACCUGGAGAACAUAAAUAUAUUGUACUUAACUGGAAACCUUUUUACUGGACCGCUGCCAAAUUGGAUAGCAAGACCAGACUACACAGAUCUUUCAUAUAACAACUUGAGCAUUGAAAAUCCAGAGCAGUUGACAUGUCAACAGGGAAGCGUGAACUUGUUUGCAUCAUCUAUGAGAGGAAGUAACUUGGGAAUGGUUUCAUGUUUGGGUAACAUUGUCUGUCCUAAAACUUGGUACUCUCUCCAUAUAAAUUGUGGUGGGAAGCUCAUAACUUCAAAUGAAAGCUUAAUAUAUGAUGAUGAUGGUGAUUCAAAUGAAGUUGGACCAGCAAGCUUUCACCGGACUGGAUCGAAUUGGGCACUUAGCAACACGGGUCACUUCUUUGACAGUGGCCUUGUGGACUACUAUACUUGGUCUAAUACAACUAAACUUGCGAUGGAAAAUGGAGAACUGUAUAUGGAUGCACGUGUUUCUCCGCUUUCUCUAACAUAUUAUGGAUUUUGCUUAGGAAAUGGAAACUACACGGUAAAUCUGCAUUUUGCAGAGAUAAUGUUCACUGAUGAUCAAACAUAUAACAACCUCGGAAGGCGUAUAUUUGACAUCUAUAUUCAGAGAAGGUUGGCGCUGAAGGAUUUCAAUAUUGCAAAAGAAGCAGGAGGAGUUGGUAAGGCUAUUAUAAAGAAGUUCAAUGCUACUGUGACUAGUAAUACGUUGGAAAUUCGACUUCAUUGGGCUGGGAAGGGGACAACUGCUAUCCCAUUUGGAUCAGUAUAUGGUCCUCUUAUAUCGGCUAUAUCGGUUAAUCCUGACUUUACUCCCCCAGUGGAAAAGCAAAGUAGCAUGCCUGUGUGGAAUAUUGUUGCAAUUGUAGUUGCUGGAGCACUAGGUAUCUUCAUCGUAUUUGGUAUAGCUCGGUGGAGAGGAUGUCGACGACAGAUAGGUCCAUUAGAAAGAGAGAUAAAGGGUUUAGACCUCCACACUGGAUUAUUUACCUUAAGCCAAAUCAAAGCAGCAACUAACAACUUUGAUAUUGCCAAUAAGAUCGGAGAAGGAGGGUUUGGUCCUGUUUACAAGGGUGUUCUUUCGGAUGGCACCAUUGUAGCAGUUAAGCAGCUUUCUUCUAAAUCAAAGCAAGGAAAUCGCGAGUUUAUCAAUGAGAUUGGAUUUAUUUCUGCUUUGCAACAUCCUUAUCUAGUUAAGCUCUAUGGUUGUUGUAUGGAGGGAGAUCAAUUGUUGCUGAUAUAUGAAUACAUGGAAAAUAAUAGCCUUGCUUGUGCUUUGUUUGCCAAAGAAAAAGGUCAAUUGAAAUUGGCUUGGUCAACAAGGAUGAAAAUUUGCAUUGGUAUUGCUAGAGGUUUGGCUUAUCUUCAUGAAGAGUCGAGGCUAAAGAUAGUUCACAGGGACAUCAAGGCCACUAAUGUGUUACUGGAUAAGGAUCUCAAUCCAAAGAUAUCUGAUUUUGGUUUGGCGAAACUUAAAGAUGACGGACACACCCACAUAACCACUAGAGUAGCUGGAACUUAUUUCAAUGCUGCAGUGGAUAUAUGGCUCCGGAAUAUGCAAUGCAUGGUUAUUUGACUGAUAAAGCCGACGUUUAUAGUUUUGGAGUUGUUGCCUUGGAAAUUGUGAGUGGGAAGCACAACACCAUGAACUGGCCAAAGGAAGAAUGCUUCUCUCUUGUUGAUUGGGUGCAUCUCUUGAAGGAAGAAGGCAAUAUAAUGGACCUAGUUGAUGAAAGAUUGAGUGAAGAUUUCAAAAAAGAGGAUGUAAUGGUAAUGAUCAAUGUGGCUCUUUUAUGCACUCAUGUUUCUCCAAUGCAUAGGCCAACCAUGUCUUCAGUUGUAAGCAUGCUUGAAGGAAAAUCUGUUGUUCAAGAGGUGUUGCUUGACACAAGCCAGGUGUUUGAAGGCAAAAAGUUGGAGAUGAUUCAACAAUAUUAUCAGAAAAGUGGAAAAAAUGAUACCCUUGAGACUCAAGAAGAGAGUAUCUCAAUAGAAGCAACUGAAGAAUUUAUGUCUGAUACAGAUCUACUUUCUACCAACAUGGAUUCUUCUUAUAGAAGUUUUAACACUUUGUAAAUUUUUAUAUCUGCUAAUCUUUCCUUCACAUAUAUUGUAGUUUUAAUGAACUUUAUAAAAAGAAUUUACUAUACUAGCAGUCAAAUUAUAA